UGAAAUCUAUGAGAGCGAACUCAUCUUACUGUUAGUAAAUCGUUGUAAACAGAUGUAGAUCAAGAUUUCAGUCUAGCAGAUCUGUUGAAGCGAUCUCACCAAAUUGCCAAUCUUACAAUAGACAUCAGUAAGUGUAAUUCAAGUGUAAUUCACGUAGGAUGUCACUUUGAAGUGCCGCGAGAGAUAAUGACAAAGAAAACGGUGAUUAACGUGCGAUCGAUGGACAAUGCAUGCUUCGCGUGGUCGGUGGUCGCCGCUCUGUACUCAGCCGAAAGAAACGCGGAUUGCGAAUCUUUCUAUCCACACUAUAUGAUGGUGCUAAAUUUCCAAAAUAUAGAAUUUUUUCCUUUAAUGUUAAAAGACGAACGAAAUUCGGACGUCUCGACGAUGUAUCCAUUAACGUAUACGGUAUCGAGGGACAGAAAACGCUAAACAUUCUCCUGAUACGAUUCGCUGAUGACAAAAAAAAGAAACAUGUCUUUUGCAAGAUCCGCGAUAAUGUGAACCAUUUCGCAUGGAUCAAGAAUCUCAACUCAUGAGCUCGUAAUUGAGUAAACUUCACGUCAAAAGUAUAUUUGCGAUCGAUUGCCGACGAAUAAACGAUUGCGCUAUCCGACUACCGAGCGACGACGACAAGUGGCUGAGCUUUAACAACUAUAAUAGGAAGAAACGAAUUCCAUUUGUCGUUUACGCUGAUCUAGAAUGCAUCCUCGAGAAAACCGAUAGCGAUCAGGAAGCAUCUACGCGAAUUGCAUAGAGUAUAUCUUUAACGCCGCGUCACCGUGCCGUAUCACAACUACGAAUAGAGGAGAAGCGUUGGACCCA
This is a long non-coding RNA of Acromyrmex echinatior (Panamanian leafcutter ant), 825 nucleotides long. RefSeq lists it as uncharacterized. Lineage: Eukaryota; Metazoa; Arthropoda; Insecta; Hymenoptera; Formicidae. The record is from RefSeq and is a predicted model, not a curated record.